Molecule: long non-coding RNA, 510 nt
Organism: Harpia harpyja (harpy eagle)
Lineage: Eukaryota; Metazoa; Chordata; Aves; Accipitriformes; Accipitridae
Exons: 2
Source: RefSeq, a predicted model, not a curated record
UUCCUCAGCCUCCUUGACCUGCAUUUCUUGUGAAGAUGUUAUUUCCUUCUUACCAGCAGCACUCCAUUGCUUUUUGCAACAGUUGUUGGACAGACCGUAUUCCAUCUCAGCAGGGACCUGGUUUAAAGGUAGACAACAUGCAACAUGUGAAGACUGGCAUUCACUCUGUGCAAGAGCCACCGAACUCCCCAAACAAGGCUGACAUCCUGGUCUGCUACCUAUAUGUAUGUAUAUUGUGGGACAGCUUAAGGACAAGAAGUCUCUAAUGAAAACAUCAGACUAACAGACAGCUACUCAUCUCUCCUAGUCCUUCUAAACCUAUUUCCUACCAGCAAAAGGAGCCUUGCAUGAAAUACCAUUUUAUGCAGAAAGUUAAUGGAUCCUUCCUAGCCACUCAGUCAAAUGUAAUGUGAUAAUUACUUCUUAUUUCACAAAUGGGAAUGACAAAGCAAUGAAAUGUGAACACCCAGAAGCGGACAUUAAACACAAGUUGGUUUUUUUCCACUGUAA